GCCCCUGUAGCCCAAUCGGCACGAGGCGCUUUGUUUAGGGCAAAGAGGUUACUGGUUCAAGUCCAGUCAGGGGCA
RNAcentral lists this transfer RNA (75 nucleotides) under Coleofasciculus sp. FACHB-SPT36. It matches the Rfam family "tRNA". From Rfam's summary of the family: Transfer RNA (tRNA) molecules are approximately 80 nucleotides in length. Their secondary structure includes four short double-helical elements and three loops (D, anti-codon, and T loops). RNAcentral also lists the same sequence under 2 other names. The record is from Rfam by way of RNAcentral. Lineage: Bacteria; Bacillati; Cyanobacteriota; Cyanophyceae; Coleofasciculales; Coleofasciculaceae.